UGCACUCCAGCCCGGGCGACAGAGUGAGACCCUGCCUCAAAAAUAAUCAUAAAUACUGAGUUGGGGGAGGUUCAUUAUGAUUGAUGCACUUGAGUUACCGAUUUGGGUCGAGGGUUCAGUGAAGCUUUGGUUUACAUCUUGUGCAGCUAACCACGGUGAGCACAGAGCAUAAGACUUCAUCAUGAGGAGGUAGGAUUAAGGAUUAGGCUUCUGGACUCGUGGUUCGUGAUGUUGUCACAUUAGAAACACAUCUAGCAUGGUUACAAGUCUGGAUCUUAAGAGACACAAAAGGCCCCAGCUGUGAUGAAGUCCAAAGCCACAUUCUCUGAGGGUGCCCUACUCCCUGGGCAGACCCACCCAAAGUCCUUGCUAUGAAGCAGAUCACUGGGGCUGACCUUGGGUGUAUUAAGUGAGUUUUGGAGUCGUCACCAAAGUGUGAGUUUCACAGUUGAACACCAAGGUUCAGAAGCAGGGUAUAGAAUGAAAGGCAGCAGAUAAAAUUGCAUUUCUCAAUUG
RNAcentral lists this long non-coding RNA (516 nucleotides) under Homo sapiens (human). RNAcentral's name for it is "HSALNT0124466". Lineage: Eukaryota; Metazoa; Chordata; Mammalia; Primates; Hominidae. The record is from RNAcentral.